This 400-nucleotide ribosomal RNA is filed under the name Myroides odoratimimus. RNAcentral describes it as "bacterial SSU rRNA". It matches the Rfam family "Bacterial small subunit ribosomal RNA", at positions 1130 to 1533 of the family's 1533-position model. The record is from RNAcentral. Lineage: Bacteria; Pseudomonadati; Bacteroidota; Flavobacteriia; Flavobacteriales; Flavobacteriaceae.
GGCGGGGACUCUAGCAAGACUGCCGGUGCAAACCGUGAGGAAGGUGGGGAUGACGUCAAAUCAUCACGGCCCUUACGUCCUGGGCUACACACGUGCUACAAUGGCAAGUACAGAAAGCAGCUACCUGGCAACAGGAUGCGAAUCUCCAAAGCUUGUCUCAGUUCGGAUUGGAGUCUGCAACUCGACUCUAUGAAGCUGGAAUCGCUAGUAAUCGGAUAUCAGCCAUGAUCCGGUGAAUACGUUCCCGGGCCUUGUACACACCGCCCGUCAAGCCAUGGAAGCUGGGGGUACCUGAAGUCGGUGACCGCAAGGAGCUGCCUAGGGUAAAACUAGUAACUAGGGCUAAGUCGUAACAAGGUAGCCGUACCGGAAGGUGCGGCUGGAACACCUCCUUUCUAGA